UGAAGUUGAACAUACAAGAAUGCUUUAGAAAAUGGAAUGUUCACACUGUUGCCAAGUGACGUUCCUUCUAAGUAUUGAUUACUCUCUACAGAUUAUGGAAAAUAUUUGUCUGAGCUCUUAUUUCAACUGCUCCAUUCUCAGCUAGUGAGGAGAGUAAGAUGUAGUGAGGCAUGUGUUCAGAACUUUCUCCCAGAGGGCUGAUAGUCCACUACGUUAUCAAGUUCAAAGCCUAAGAAAUAUUGAACAUUUCCACACAUGAAUGUGGGUACUAUGUUUAAUUUGAGAAUGGCCAACUGUCCUCGAAGUCUCAAUCUCUUUGGAGCCUACCAGCUCCGAGAGAAGUUUGAGGAUGCUGCAAAACCCUCCCCUGCAAAUCCAUCUACUCCUCCCACUUCUAUCCUAAUGGGUAUAGUUCUUGGCUGUGCUGAGGAUCUGUAAGGCACCAGAUGUGAAAGUAAGGAAGAAAGAUGGAUGUGGAAGAAAGUCACUGCCCAGAGAAUAAGGAGACCUGGAUUCUAAUCUCAGCUCUGCCAUUAACUAGCUAUGAAACUAUGGCUCAAAAGGGAAUAAGAGAUCAAGGCAAGCAUGGACAUCUUGUACGUGGAAGUGCAGACCAGAACUUGUAUCACAGCCAGUCAUAUCUGGUGCUUUCCAUGCUACUUUUACAUACAUGUAUCCUUAAAUUUGAUCCUCUUCUAGUUUAGUCUAAACUCUUUACUUUGUAACUUCCAAACCUAAAAGGUGCAGCAGACAUUGACAAUCUUAAUUCAUUUGUCAGGUCA
This 782-nucleotide long non-coding RNA is filed under the name Homo sapiens (human). Its description in RNAcentral is "HSALNT0380780". Lineage: Eukaryota; Metazoa; Chordata; Mammalia; Primates; Hominidae. The record is from RNAcentral.